CUUUAAUUAGCAUAAUAGGACUCAUUCAGUCCGGUCAAGAUAGACAUUCAAGGUUACAAAAAUUCGCAUAGAGCUAAAAAUUGGUACGAAUGUUGGGACCAAUUGCACUGUGAAAAGUCCCCAUCGAUUCCC
Maniola jurtina (meadow brown) is the source of this 132-nucleotide long non-coding RNA. RefSeq lists it as uncharacterized. NCBI's taxonomy places the organism in Eukaryota, Metazoa, Arthropoda, Insecta, Lepidoptera, Nymphalidae. The transcript is spliced from 3 exons. The record is from RefSeq and is a predicted model, not a curated record.